CCUACGGGGGGCAGCAGUCGGGAAUAUUGCGCAAUGGAGGAAACUCUGACGCAGUGACGCCGCGUAUAGGAAGAAGGUUUUCGGAUUGUAAACUAUUGUCGUGAGGGAAGAAAUUGACAGUACCUCAGGAGGAAGCUCCGGCUAACUAUGUGCCAGCAGCCGCGGUAAUACAUAGGGAGCAAGCGUUAUCCGGAUUUACUGGGUGUAAAGGGAGCGUAGACGGCCAGACAAGUCAGAAGUGAAAGCCCAGGGCUCAACCCUGGGACUGCUUUUGAAACUGCCGGGCUGGAGUGCAGGAGAGGUAA
RNAcentral lists this ribosomal RNA (305 nucleotides) under uncultured bacterium. RNAcentral's name for it is "bacterial SSU rRNA". It matches the Rfam family "Bacterial small subunit ribosomal RNA", at positions 338 to 660 of the family's 1533-position model. The record is from RNAcentral.